AACCCGACAGAAUCUUCAUCCGCGUGUCCAUUCUGACAGGAUGUACAGUAGUAUAUGACCUGGGGUUAUUUCCACUGUCAUUUUAUAGAAGGUAAAAUACGCUGGAAUCUUCCCAGACCGGAGAAUGUGCAAGUCUGGAAAAGUUACCGACGUGACAGCUUUCCGGUUAGUGAUGACUAAUAAAAAAAAAAAAUCCACUCAGUCUGAACAGUGUUUAAGUUCAAGCCGGGGGGCUCUAAUUAAACGCUGACACUUGGAACGACAGGAGGAGCACAACGUGGACUUCGUACAGCAUGGUUCUUUAGGACUUCGGACGGCUCCAAGUCGUUGACCUGCAGGAGUGAACUGUAGUGACGACUCGCACGCACGCGCACGCAGCUGUGGACAGCGGACAAACAUCAAACCCUGACGGUUUACCAGGCUUCACCGAUCCCGUACCGUGCUCGUCGUCGGUGUGAGCGACGUGGAUCGCGCGCUCGUCCAGGCUGAAGUAGAGGAAAUGGAGGCCUCGGCGUCGGUGUAAAGGGGAUUCCAUCGACCCCUUCGACUCUCAAGACUCAUCCCUGGAUCCUGACUUGCCUUCUUCACUCCCGACGAAUAGUCUGGGUUUGAGGGCUUAAAUAAAUGAUUCUUUUUAUUGAAUUAACAUUUGAAAAGAGGAGCGGUUGAUCACGUUUGUCCACUCAAGAAAGGAUUUUUAAUUUCAAAGUUGCUCUGAUGUCCACUUUGUCCUCUUACGCUCGGCGUGAUGACCUCAACAAUAUUAGACGUUAAGUCCUAUGAGAUCACGUCACCGGCCCCCCACAUGCUCCAAAUUCACCCUAACGGAAAUUUGAAGAAUAUAUUGGCGAAUAUAUUCACCGCUUAUCAAAUCUAGGCAAACAAUAUGAUUGAAAAGUAAACUAUACAUUUAAAAUAAUAAUAAUAAUAAUAAUAAUAAUAAUAAUACUAAUAAUAAUAAUUUAAAGAAUGUCCUUGUUGGUGUUAAUCUGACAUUGAUCCUGUCCUCUAGGUCCUCUUCUGUUUCAGUUAACUGGUGCCUUCUUUAAAAAAAAAUUAUAUUUAUUUAUUUAUUUUAAAUCAUACCACUGUUCUACCGCUCUUCUUUCUGAAUCUUUCUCUCUUUCUUAUCUCCUCCAUACAUCCUCCCACCUGCCUCCCUCUAUCUCCCUCCCGUCGCUCUUCCUGCCUUUCCGCGCGUGCUGAUUGUCGCGCUUUUCAUUCUUCGUCCUCUGUAUUGGCUUUUGUUUUGGGAACAAAGGGCGCGUAAUGUCCUCAUCUUUUCCAUCUGUCACUCAGUCGGGGGGAAUGACUGAGAGGCGGAAGAUGACGAGAGACAGGGAGAGAGUGAGGAGGAAGGAUGCGGCCGUUUGAUUUCGGGAGCACUGCUUCAUUUCCCCUCAGCUCUCUGUGCGACUGCUCCGUAGACACAGACACGGCGAGGGAUCGGAGCUCCGGCGAGCUUCCUCCUGGAAAUUUACCACAGUGCUGCUGUGCUUCCAAAAAGGUUACAAAUAUUUCAUAGAUGGAUGGAUGGAUGGAUGGACAGUGGGAUGGAUGGAUGGAAGGACAGAUAGAUAGAUUGAUAGAUAGAUGUAUGGAUAGACAGUGGGAUGGAUGGAAGGAUAGAUAGACAGAGACAAAUAGAUAGAUAGAUAGUGGGAUGGAUGGAUAGAUAGAUAGUGGGAUGGAUGGAUAGAUAGUGGGAUGGAUGGAUGGAAGGGUAGAUAGAGGGAUGGAUGGAUGGAAGGAUAGAUAGAGGGAUGGAUGGAUGGAAGGAUAGAUAGAUAGAUAGAUAGAUAGAUAGUGGGAUGAUGGAAGGAUAGAUAGAUAGAUAGUGGGAUGGAUGGAAGGAUAGAUAGAUAGUGGGAUGUAUAGAUAGAUAGAUAGAUAGAGAUAGAUAGAUGGAUGGAUGGAAGGAUAGAUAGAUAGAUAGAUAGUGGGAUGGAUGGAUGGAAGGAUAGAUAGAUAGUGGGAUGUAUAGAUAGAUAGAUAGAUAGAGAUAGAUAGAUGGAUGGAUGGAAGGAUAGAUAGAUAGAUAGAUAGUGGGAUGGAUGGAUAGAUAGAUAGAGGGAUGGAUGGAUGGAUAGAUAGAUAGUGGGACAGAUAGAUAGAGGGAUGGAUGGAUGGAAGGAUAGAUAGAUAGAUGGACAGUGGGAUGGAUGGAUGGAAGGAUAGAUAGAUGGAUAGAUAGAUAGUGGGAUGGAUGGAAGGAUAGAUAGAUAGUGGGAUGGAUGGAUGGAAGGAUAGACAGAUAGAUGGAUAGUGGGAUGGAUGGAUGGAAGGAUAGAUAGAUGGAUAGAUAGAUGGAUAGUGGGAUGGAUGGAUGGAAGGAUAGAUAGAUGGAUAGAUAGAUGGAUAGAUAGAUAGAUGGAUGGAAGGAUGGAUAGAUAGAGGGAUGGAAGGAUAGAUAGAUAGAUAGAUGGAUGGAAGGAUGGAUAGAUAGAGGGAUGGAAGGAUAGAUAGAUAGAUAGAUGGAUGGAAGGAUAGAUAGAUAGAUAGAGGGAUGGAUGGAAGGAUAGAUAGAUAGAUGGAUGGAAGGAUAGAUAGAUAUGGAUAGUGGGAUGGAUGGAUGGAAGGAUAGAUAGAUGGAUGGAAGGAUAGAUGGAAGGAUGGAUGGAAGGAUAGACAGAUAGAUAGAUGGAUAGUGGGAUGGAUGGAUGGAUAGUGGGAUGGAUGGAUGGAAGGAUAGAUGGAUAGUGGGAUGGAUGGAUGGAUAGAUAGAUGGAUAGUGGGAUGGAUGGAUGGAAGGAUAGAUGGAUAAUAGAUUGGAUGGAAGGAUAGAUGGAUAGUGGGAUGGAUGGAUGGAAGGAUAGAUGGUAGAUAGCAUUUAGUCCUGAGUGUCUGGUGAAGAGCUAGUGAGUGUUAAUAAGUGGAAUAAGACACACUGAUGGGGUGGUGGAACAGUGACACCACUGAACCUUUCCUCCGAGUUGAACUCUAUCUGACUGAUUCCUGGCUGUAAAUGGCAUCUUUAGGGAUAUUAAAUGUUAAUCACCUCAAUCUUUUCUUCACACAGCCUGUAGUUAACGACAGACCACAUGUCCUGCCUGGAACCGUACUCUGUUGUCAUAUUUGGCACCACGCAGCAUGAGAACUAGGAUAUGAAGUCGGACGAUUUCCUGCGCAGCGGCAUGUACAUGUAUGUGUUUGCGAUUGCGAGCGUUAAUUACGAACAGUGUCUAAUUAUGCUUUCAAUCUCACUACAGUCCUGCUCCACAUGCUCCAAACCAAAACAGUAGUGGGAAAUCUUCGAGCAGCAGGACAGAAAUGAUCUCUGACGGUCAUGAGCGGCCCGGUU
Long non-coding RNA from Ictalurus punctatus (channel catfish), 3301 nucleotides. The record is from Ensembl. Lineage: Eukaryota; Metazoa; Chordata; Actinopteri; Siluriformes; Ictaluridae.